RNAcentral lists this ribosomal RNA (496 nucleotides) under uncultured bacterium. RNAcentral's name for it is "partial 16S ribosomal RNA". It matches the Rfam family "Bacterial small subunit ribosomal RNA", at positions 29 to 507 of the family's 1533-position model. The record is from RNAcentral.
AUGAACGCUGGCGGCGUGCCUAAUACAUGCAAGUCGAGCGAACAGACGAGGAGCUUGCUCCUCUGACGUUAGCGGCGGACGGGUGAGUAACACGUGGAUAACCUACCUAUAAGACUGGGAUAACUUCGGGAAACCGGAGCUAAUACCGGAUAAUAUAUUGAACCGCAUGGUUCAAUAGUGAAAGACGGUUUUGCUGUCACUUAUAGAUGGAUCCGCGCCGCAUUAGCUAGUUGGUAAGGUAACGGCUUACCAAGGCAACGAUGCGUAGCCGACCUGAGAGGGUGAUCGGCCACACUGGAACUGAGACACGGUCCAGACUCCUACGGGAGGCAGCAGUAGGGAAUCUUCAGCAAAGGGCGAAAGCCUGACGGAGCAACGCCGCGUGAGUGAUGAAGGUCUUCGGAUCGUAAAACUCUGUUAUUAGGGAAGAACAAAUGUGUAAGUAACUAUGCACGUCUUGACGGUACCUAAUCAGAAAGCCACGGCUAACUACGUG